RNAcentral lists this ribosomal RNA (650 nucleotides) under bacterium. RNAcentral's name for it is "bacterial SSU rRNA". It matches the Rfam family "Bacterial small subunit ribosomal RNA", at positions 64 to 733 of the family's 1533-position model. The record is from RNAcentral.
GGACUACGGGUAACAUAAGAUGCGCUCUUACAAGACCUUCGGGUCUAAUGGCGCACGGGUGCGUAACGCGAGGGAAUCUGCCCUUGGGUUCGGAAUAACAGUUAGAAAUGACUGCUAAUACCGGAUGAAGUCUUCGGACCAAAGAUUUAUCGCCCAGGGAUGAGCCCGCGUAGGAUUAGGUAGUUGGUGGGGUAAUGGCCCACCAAGCCGACGAUCCUUAGCUGGUCUGAGAGGAUGAUCAGCCACACUGGGACUGAGACACGGCCCAGACUCCUACGGGAGGCAGCAGUGGGGAAUAUUGGACAAUGGGCGCAAGCCUGAUCCAGCAAUGCCGCGUGAGUGAUGAAGGCCUUAGGGUUGUAAAGCUCUUUUACCAGGGAUGAUAAUGACAGUACCUGGAGAAUAAGCUCCGGCUAACUCCGUGCCAGCAGCCGCGGUAAUACGGAGGGAGCUAGCGUUGUUCGGAAUUACUGGGCGUAAAGCGCACGUAGGCGGCUAUUCAAGUCGGGGGUGAAAGCCCGGGGCUCAACCCCGGAACUGCCCUCGAAACUAGGUAGCUAGAAUCUUGGAGAGGUCAGUGGAAUUCCGAGUGUAGAGGUGAAAUUCGUAGAUAUUCGGAAGAACACCAGUGGCGAAGGCGACUGACUGGA